UAAAAGGGUCGGUUGGCUAUGUAUGCCACUCCCAUCCUUCGAUGAUGGGUGCUGUAUGGCUAUCAAGACAUAUGGCCGACAUAAUUUGUGGGCAUCCCUAGGGUUGGCUCGCUCGGCCGACCCUCCA
Molecule: small nuclear RNA, 127 nt
Organism: Ananas comosus (pineapple)
Lineage: Eukaryota; Viridiplantae; Streptophyta; Magnoliopsida; Poales; Bromeliaceae
Rfam family: U11 spliceosomal RNA
Source: Rfam